This 225-nucleotide unclassified non-coding RNA is filed under the name plant metagenome. Its description in RNAcentral is "partial contains small subunit ribosomal RNA, internal transcribed spacer 1, and 5.8S ribosomal RNA". The record is from RNAcentral.
UCUCCGUUGGUGAACCAGCGGAGGGAUCAUUACAGGACUCGCAAGACUCCUACAACCCUGUGAACUUAACUAUAAGCACGUUGCUUCGGCGGGUGUCUCGGAGGGGGUUCUCCCUCCCCGAGACGCUAAACCUGCCGGCAGCCUACUAUACUCUGUCUCUUUGCGUUGGCAUCUCGAGUACAAUCAAACAAGUUAAAACUUACAACAACGGAUCUCUUGGUUCUG